AGCGAACGCUGGCGGCGUGCCUAACACAUGCAAGUCGAACGUGAAAAGGGAAACCUGAGUACAGUGGCGUACGGGUGAGUAACGCGUAGGUAAUCUACCCCAGAAUCUGGAAUAACCUGCCGAAAGGCGGGCUAAUACUGGAUAGAGCGAGGGAACUCGUAAGAGAGUUUUUCGGGAAAGGGAGCCCGCAAGGGCCUUCGUUCUGGGAUGAGCCUGCGUCUCAUUAGCUAGUUGGUAAGGUAACGGCUUACCAAGGCGAUGAUGAGUAGCUGGUCUGAGAGGAGGAUCAGCCACACUGGAACUGAAACACGGUCCAGACUCCUACGGGAGGCAGCAGUGGGGAAUCUUGCGCAAUGGACGAAAGUCUGACGCAGCCACGCCGCGUGAGUGAAGAAGGCCUUCGGGUUGUAAAGCUCUGUCGGAUGGGACGAACAUCUUCAUAGUGAAUAGCUAUGAGGACUGACGGUACCAUCAAAGGAAGCACCGGCUAACUCCGUG
This 498-nucleotide ribosomal RNA is filed under the name uncultured bacterium. Its description in RNAcentral is "partial 16S ribosomal RNA". It matches the Rfam family "Bacterial small subunit ribosomal RNA", at positions 29 to 507 of the family's 1533-position model. The record is from RNAcentral.